RNAcentral lists this ribosomal RNA (483 nucleotides) under uncultured bacterium. Its description in RNAcentral is "bacterial SSU rRNA". It matches the Rfam family "Bacterial small subunit ribosomal RNA", at positions 28 to 526 of the family's 1533-position model. The record is from RNAcentral.
GACGAACGCUGGCGGCGUGCUUAACACAUGCAAGUCGAGCGGUAAGGCUCCUUCGGGAGUACACGAGCGGCGAACGGGUGAGUAACACGUGAGUAAUCUGCCCCUCACUUUGGGAUAAGCCUCGGAAACGAGGUCUAAUACCGGAUACGACCACUUCUCGCAUGAGAUGGUGGUGGAAAGUUUUUCGGUGGGGGAUGUGCUCGCGGCCUAUCAGCUUGUUGGUGGGGUAAUGGCCUACCAAGGCUUCGACGGGUAGCCGGCCUGAGAGGGUGACCGGCCACACUGGGACUGAGACACGGCCCAGACUCCUACGGGAGGCAGCAGUGGGGAAUAUUGCACAAUGGGCGAAAGCCUGAUGCAGCAACGCCGCGUGAGGGAUGACGGCCUUCGGGUUGUAAACCUCUUUUAGCAGGGAAGAAGCGAAAGUGACGGUACCUGCAGAAAAAGCGCCGGCUAACUACGUGCCAGCAGCCGCAGUAAAAC